Molecule: ribosomal RNA, 433 nt
Filed under: uncultured bacterium
Lineage: Bacteria
Description: partial 16S ribosomal RNA
Rfam family: Bacterial small subunit ribosomal RNA
Source: RNAcentral
AACGAACGCUGGCGGCAUGCCUAACACAUGCAAGUCGAACGAGACCUUCGGGUCUAGUGGCGCACGGGUGCGUAACGCGUGGGAACCUGCCCUUAGGUUCGGAAUAACUCCCCGAAAGGGGUGCUAAUACCGGAUAAUGUCUUCGGACCAAAGAUUUAUCGCCUUUGGAUGGGCCCGCGUUGGAUUAGCUAGUUGGUAGGGUAAAAGCCUACCAAGGCGACGAUCCAUAACUGGUCUGAGAGGAUGAUCAGCCACACUGGGACUGAGACACGGCCCAGACUCCUACGGGAGGCAGCAGUGGGGAAUAUUGGACAAUGGGCGAAAGCCUGAUCCAGCAAUGCCGCGUGAGUGAUGAAGGCCUUAGGGUUGUAAAGCUCUUUUACCUGGGAUGAUAAUGACAGUACCGGGAGAAUAAGCUCCGGCUAACUCCGUG